GUCCAGUGCCAGACAGCUUCCCAUACAGCAAAUUUCCCAUCAAGCACUGAAAGCAUGUUUUUUCUACAUCUGGAAACUGUCCUGCUCCUCACUGGUGUUUGAGUGUUGUUCUGAUAUCCUGCUGAAAAGCCUCCAACCAAAAUCAGCCAACACAAAUUAAUAAAUUACCACCAGUCAGCAGGGGCAGAGUAACUGGACGGUGUGUGUUCUUGUCCUGAUGCACCCUACACCUCAACUGAUUAGCUGUAACUCCAUAAUUAAUGUCGAGUGUCCACCUGUGUCUGCUCUCCUCACUGGUACUGCAUUCCCCAUCUCAGAGCCAAAGAAACUCAAGAGGUCCUCCAAUGAGCAAACACAUUACAUAAGCAUGAGGUGAGACUGGAGACUCUGAGAGGUAGGGAUGUUGAAAGAGCACUGAUUUAUGAGAACUGGAGCAAAGUGGUAACUGAAGCAAUAGCUCCUUUUCCAUGAUGCUGCCCUGUGUUUUGUAACCUACCUCAUGGCCACUGGAUGAUUAGGACCUUUCCUGAGUGCACGAUUUCCCUUACCCUCAGUGUUUAUGAUGGCUGGUUUCAAUUAUUCCUUUCCUUCACACUCUGUAUUUCAACCUGCCUCAGAUGAGCAAUUCAUCUACUCUAUCAAAUAACUUACCAAGAUAGAUUUCACAUGCAAGGCAAAUACAUUUUCCUUCCCCUCAUAAUUCCACAACACUGUUUUUUAGAAUUCUGUUUCUCUUGCCUGAUUCCCAGCAAACCCUUACCCAGAGUAGAGCUUUCUAAUGUGCAGAUUGGAUAUAAAAUGCCAUCAGAUAACAGUGACAUUUCCACCUACUCUGUCCUGACCCUUGUGCCACAACUUUUCCCCCAUGUUACCUGAGCUGAUAUAAAGAGUGAGGUCAGAAAACGUUGCACAGGGCUGAAACAAGACCCCACCAUGGAUUGUCAUGUCCAUGUACAUGACUGAAGUAACUGGUGCCUAUGCAGAUUUGUAUGUAGUGGUGUUCUACGUAUGCAUGUGCACAGCAUGCAUGGCCAUGACGAAUGGUGCCAUGAUGCAUGUGAAAAAGCCCAUUUUUUACACAUGUAUUCAUGCUUUGUGAACUUCUGAUAUCAAUUCAUUUAAGAAUGGAGAGAAAAUUAAGAGAUUUGGUGCAUGUAGUUGCUCAUUCUUAAUACUCUUCUGAUCUUAGCAUAGAUGGGACCUGCACAGAUGAGUGAUGAGCGCUUGGAGGGUGAUUCCGUGGUAGAAGCAUCGUGUGGGUCCCAAGUUGGGUAUGGACACUGCUAUGGCACCCAAGUGAACGGAGCCCUGUGUCAGCAAAAAGCGUGAUGAAUAUCCAGGUGAGCUCAACAAGCACUCAGCAGAAUUCAUCUGCAGCUCAUUGAGGCAACACAGAGAGAGUUCAUGGGGAGUUUAUCAUGGGAACUGCUGAGGGUUAAUGGCCAGCAGAACAGAUUGAGCUGUGGGAUUACUAAAUAAUGAACUUUUCUCUCCAAUAAAUUUGUCCCUGACUUAUAAAAAAUCAAUAACAUACUACAUUUCGGGCUUUUUUUUUCCUUUUCCUUUUGGUGACGGUGGGGAAUGUGGGCUCAGAGUAAUUUUUAAACUACUCUUUCAUAUAUAUGUAUAAAUAUAUUUUACUCUGAUCAUUUAUACAAAAGCUCAGAUGUGCCACAUUUACUGCAGCUUCAUCACCUAGAUAGAUUUUUAUGUGGGUGCCCGGCUAUUGCUUUGUUUAAUCAUUCUUUUCUCUUCCCUCCCCAGUCCCUUGCCUCCCCCUUCCCUUCCAUGCUUUUUAUGACACUAUCGCCAGCGCAGAUAUGCAGGAGGGUUUUCAUGUGAUAUAGGAUGUCGGAGAGGUCAGGUCAGCUGGGACAGAGCCAAAAAUAUUAGCACUUUCUAACUGCUGAGGAGAGAAAUUGAAAUAAUAGCACUUAUAAAUUGGCAGGUUUUCAACUGCAGGAGAAGAGAGGGAUUUUUUGCGUGUGUUUAUUUUGUUUCAGAAGUGGAGAGGAGGCGGAUCCGGUUCUUGGCCACAGAAGAGAUGUUCACUGUGCUUUGGGCUCGUGUUUGUGUUAAAUUUGGCCAGGAAGUGGUUGGUGGGCUGGUAUCUGUUCUCAGACACGCAUUUCCUGUUUUUAACCCAAUCUUUCUUCCCUCCAUCUCUGUAUGGAAAUAGAAUUAUAGAAUCAUUAAUGUUCGAAGAGACCAUUAGGAUCAUCAAGCCCAACCACAGGUCCCUCAGAUGACUGCAUAUAGCAAGUCUCCCCAAAAUACAGAGAGACCUAGACAGAGCAGUGGGUCCAUGAAAACCUCACGCAGUUCAACAAUGCAAGGUCUGCACGUAGGUCAUUGAAACCCCACUACUGAUACAAGCGAGGGGAUGUAAGGAUGGAGCGCAGCCCUGCCAAAAAGGACCUGGGGGUACUGGUGGAUGGCAGAUGGACAUGAGCCACUGCAACAGGUUGCCUAGAGACGUGGUGGGUGCCCAUCUCUGGAGCCGUUCAAGGUCAGGCCGGAUGGGGCUCUGAGCUGUGGGCGUCCCUGUUCAUUGCAGGGGGUUGGACAAGGUGACCUUUAGGGGUCCUUUCAACUCAAACCAUUCUAAUUGAGUGUUUGCAGCUCCCAUCAUCUCAAUGCUAUGUAGAGUAGCCACCCAAAAACAUGUUGCUUCUUCCACCAUAAUAUUGGACAGGACAGUCCUCCCACCACAAGGAGCACCAUGUUUGGGAAUGAAGAUCCUAAAGGACUGUUCUGUCAACCCUUAUAUCUUUGCCUCACCCACCACAGCUCAGGCAAACACCCACAUCUCUGCCCUCUUCACCAAGAUCAGUUUCCGGGCACCAGAACAAUCACUUGAAGCCAAAAUGAACUACCAAGAGUAAACCUAAAAAGUGAGCUCUGAACAAAAAAAUCCCCCCCACAGUUCUGAAAGAAUGACAAGACAUAAAAAAAGAGGUGAAAUUUGAGCCCAUUUCAGCAAACAAGCACAGAGCUUAGACUCUGGCGUGUCAGCUCUUUUCACUUUGCUAUAGAUGCUGAAGUAAAGCAUUUCAUCUUUUCUAAAUUUAUGUAUUAACAUUUUGUUUAAUUUCCAUUUAUUAAUAUUUAUUCAUAUAUAUUUAGAAAUAGAUUUUUAUUUGUAUAUAUUUAAGUAAACAAUACUAAUCUAUUUGUUAUUAAUAUUUCAGGUUUUCACCCCAACAUAGAGUACGAAGCAUCAGGCCUUCCACCAGGACAGACAUCCUAUUUGUAAACACUGCUUUAUUGUAUCUUACUCUCCUCCAUAAUGCUUUUCACUCCAGCAUGGAUGAACCUUCAUGGGAGUUUUUCCAGUGUCACCCUUAAUAAUGAUAUCAUUCUCUUUUUACCAAGACACUUUGCUAGACUGGAAGACAACAGUUUCGUAUCAGUCCCUCAAGACAAGCCAGUAAUCAUCCAACAGACCAUCUCAUCUUCACUGACCAUUCCUGUGAUGGGAGUUGCUCACGUCAGAGGAGCAUUAAAGGUGAGAGGGAACCAGUGUGCAAAGACUGAACUAUGCAUCAGACGUUGGGUGCUGGUAUAGAAUCAUAGAAUCACUGAGGUUGGAAAGACCUCUAAGAUCAUCAAGUCCAACCAUCAACCCAAACCCAUCACCACCAUGCAACUAAACCACGCUAUACAUUGUGAUAUCUUCCCCUUUCUUGAUAACUUCCAAGGAUGGUGACACCACCAUCUCCCUGGGCAGCCUGUUUCAAUGCUUCACCAAAGUACAAGAGGUCCCAACUCUGCUGGAGUAGCUGCAGCCCUUCAGUGCCUCAGCCUUAUGCUCCUGAUUGGCCAUGGGUGUAAUUACUGAACACAACAAACCAAAGAGCUCACUUCUCUGAGUUUUAUUCUCACUCUGGUCAGGUUUCCUGUGGCAGCCUGUAGCUGGAGGUGGCCUAUGCAGAAUUAGCUACUCUAAUGUAGUUCCAACCUCUCACUGUGAAUGCGAGCACACAGCUGAAGAAAGGAUUGCCACAAAGGGUUAGGAAGAAAGGAAAAGGAGAUUAAUGCUCAUCCCCUCGAUCUGAUCCUACUCCCUUUGAAACUUUCAGCAAAGCAGAUUAAGGCUGUAAGCUUCACCAGGCAGGGGGUGUUACUCACCACUGCGUUUUGGAAAGUCAAACAACAACCGAACCCUGAUCCUGACCUCCAUGCCUCGCAGAGAUAAAUUAAUAAUUAAAAAUAAUGCUAACGAUAACAUUAAUGAUGAGGUUUGUGCUGCUAAAUGGGGAGUUUUCUCCAGCAGCAGUAUUUUCCUCUGUGACUGGCAGCUCAUUUGCUGCUAUUGAUGCUCUGAAGCAUGAUGAGGAGUAGCUGGGUGAGUAUUUCUCUAACCAAGCACUUUGGGUCAAAUGCAGAGUGAUCUCAUGCAGUAUCUCACAUGGCUGGCCUGAAAUGUCAAGCCCUGCACUUGGAGCGAGGGGCGAGCAGGUCAGGUCAUGUCUGGUUGUAAAAGGAUUGUUUGUGCCACACUCCAUCCAUGGCCUUGUGUUGGGAGGACCCAAACAAUCCUUCCCUUCAUUCUCCAGCAGAAUGGUAUUUUCGGGAAGACAAGGGGCUGGCAUUAACUUCCUUGCAUCUGAUGAUGUUUUUUUUCCUAAUAUGUUUCUUUUGAAACUCACCCUAUUCCAUAGCUGCAAGUCCAGACCCAUAUCUGCACCGAAGGAACAGAAGAAUCCUUAGGUCUUCCCUUUGCCUGUGUCAGUUUUGCAAUUCAGCUCCAUCAGGACAGCCACAUGAGUUUUACUCUGUAAGGAAACUCCUGCACGGUGCAGAUUGCUGGGGCCAUUCAGAUCCACAUGUUGCUUCUGUGCCUAACACAGCCAUGACUCACUCAGAGGGUGGUGACACACUGAACAGGUUGCCCGAGGAAGUUGUGGAUGCCCCAUCCCUGAAGGCAUUCGAGGCCAGGCUGGAUGUGGCUCUGGGCAGCCUGGUCUGGUGGUUGGUGACCCUGCACAUAGCAGGGGGUUGAAACCGGAUGAUCAUUGUGGUCCUUUUCAACCUUCAACUUUUGCAACCUCUAUGCAAGGGAGAGAGGUGGUAAUAGCAUGUAUGAUCACCUCCAAUAGAUGCCAGCAGUUAUUUCUAUCCAUAGAGAAACAAGGAGCCAGAAUUUGCAAAAUAGGUGCUUUGUACUGAUUGUCCCUCUCUUGACCUUCCAUAGCGUGGUACUCACAGCAACGUCUCCAUUAGCAAUAUUCACCCUCAGCUCCCAUUAUAGUCAAUGGCACUUGCAUGACAUGAUCAAUCUCACCAAAAUUAGCCAAACCAAACCACCCCCUGGGAGUGCUGAUUUCUUACUGAUGUCUGCCAGGUGAGCCAGAAUCGACCAGCUCAGGUGGAAGCCAUUGCAGCUUGCAUGUCUCAGGCUGUGGGGAUGAUCCCUACUCCCUACAAGGGUAGACUUCAAAUCCCUGGAAAUAAUAUAAGUACAUGAAACCAAUGGGGGCUGGAACUCACUAUAACAACUUCUCUGAUCUGGAGAGGAAACCAUUGAUUUCCCAGUUUCCUGGUAUGGAGACAUCUCUUCUUCAGUGUUGUCCUGUCAGAGGUCAUCUAAGAUUGGGGAUUUAUAGGGAAAAUUGCAACAUGGUUGACCUUGACUCUACAAUGGAGGAAACAAUAUCGAAUCUCUGUCCUUCUCCUCAUUUUUUAGCCCUAUUCUGAUGUUUUUCUUGAGACAGCAUGCUGUUGAGGGACCUCAUCAUUUUUAAUUUUUCUUUUCCCCUUCAUCAAGCCAACCAUUCUAUUAUAAAAUGGUGGUUCCAUUUCUUAAUCUUCCUAUUUUCUUCUCAGUGUGUGUUUGCUAAUCAAUUUCACAAGCUGCUGCGUGAAGAGUGGGAAGAAGGGCUGCUCUCCUCCUUCUUUUGGACCUUUUCCCAGAAACUAGACCAAGCCAGUUUUCUCUCUGGUAGCCUGUAGCUCAUGUUAGAUCCCCAUGUACAUGGACAGAAGGGGCUACUGAGGUUGGGGCCUUGUAGCUGAGAAGCCACCACCUCUAGUCUCUCCUUUCGUCAUCAUAUAGGAACAGGUUGCCCAGGGAAGCGGUGGAGUUACCUUCCCUGGAGGUUUUCAAGAGGAGAGUAGAUGUUGCAUUGAGUGUCGUGGUUAGUGGGCAUGGUGGGGAUGGGCUGAUGAUUGGCUUAGGCGAUCUUAGUGGUCUUUCCAACCAUAAUGAUUCUAUUAUCCUUAGGAUGGAUGAGGAGACUUCAUCCAGCAAUUUCCAGCGCACCAUGAUGAAUGGCUGGAGGGUAGCAGGUGACGUCUCAGAGAACAUCUCAAAGGAAAGGACAAAGAUUGAAGCAACUGAACUGCUGUAAGGGCAUAGCUUUUGUCUCCAACUCCACAUGAGUUGCGAGAAGCUCAUAAAUAGAUGAGCAACUCGUAUGCAUUGAGCAACUCAUGUGUAUGUCACUGAAGCUGGAAAUGUUCAAGGAACAUUUAGAUGUUGUGUUGAGGGAUGUGGUUUAGUGAGAACUCUUGGUGAUGGGUGGAUGGUUGGACUGGAUGGUCUUGUAGGUCUUUUCCCACCUUGGCAAUUCUAUGAUUCUAUGAUUGCUACAGCUCAGCGCAGUCUGGAAGUGCUGGAACUCCUUUUCAGCUGCUGGAGCUGAGAUCUCUAAAGGUGCUCAGGUGCCUAAAGAUGCUGACAUGCUUACUAGGCUUUGCAGAAGUGCUCAUUUUUUAAAGUCCUUAUAGUUAUCUCUCUUCAGACUCCAAAGUGGCUCCAGAAAGCUGCUCUGGAAAGUCUACAGAUACAUGAACAAUGUUUUAAUCCUCUGACCAGAGAAAAAUCUCUGUCCUUCCAGCCACCUGGUGCACAGCAGUUCAUAUGCACACCGCUGAGGCACACCACCCUGGAAUGAUUCCUUUCCUCUAAGCCCGUCUAGCCAGCAUGUCAUUAUUAUUUUUGAGUGAUCAUGUGUUUUGAGAUCAAAGGACUUAAAAUAAAGCAAUAGCUGUGUUGCAGCCAGCCUCACUGCGUGGUUCUGAAAGUGUAUACGUGUUGUCUGCCUUGUUGGGAAAGCACAGGAAUAAAGAGAGUUCAGAGGAUACAAAUCAGGUUGCUCAGAGAAGCUGUGGAUGCCCCAUCCCUGGAGGUGCCCAAGGCCAUGAUGAGUGUGGCCCUGGGCAACCUGAGCUGGUGGGCAGCAACCAGCCCACAGGAGGGAGGUUGAAACCCUAUGAUCUUUAAGAUCCUUUCAUGGGCUAAAACAUGCCCAGAACACUAAUCCAGAGUUUCCUCACUCCUAAAAGGAGUUGAGGAUGGACCAUAUAUUGUACGAUCAAGGGACCAAACAGCAGAGAAUUCACUCACUGGGCAGUACAGAAGUAACAUACAACUCAGAUCCACAGAAAGACCCACAGGGAGCUGAACACGUCAGAGCAGCUUCUCCCUCAGCACUGCAGGUAGGAUUUCCUGAAAGACUCACCGACUUUCUGCACCUGCUCCCCUUGGCAUCAAUAAGAGGAGGAGGGGAAAGAAGGGAACUGCUAUUGAUUGUGAAAAUGCAAUUCAGCGGAUGCUUCAAGAAAUCAGAAUCUUAGAAUCAGAGAAUAUUCUGAGUUGGAAGAGACCCACAAUGACCAUCAAGUCCAACCCCUGACUCCACACAGCAGCACCUAAACCCUAUGUCUGAGAGUGAUGUCCCUGUGCCCAUUGCCUUGGGCAGCCUGCUCCUCUGGUGGGGGCCUAUCCCUCCAAUUAAUCCUCCUUCCUCCAUUCUCUGCUUCAAGGAAGUGUCCAGCCAAACCUUCGUGAUUCACGCUAUAAAGAGAUCAAAUCAUGUCAGUACUUCUAUGUUUUGCUGCUGAAAAGGAAGAUUAUCUUUCCUGCCUCUGACAAAAGACCACUAAAAGCAAUUUGCAGACAAUACCCUAGUUAAGAACAAUAAGCCAAGCGUAUGUCAUUAGUAACCAGACAAGUUCAAAGGCAUUUGUACUCCUGCCUGGGUACUCCAGUCACUCUGCUCUGUACUGUGAAAAGCACUACAUGUACUUCCUGAGAGCUCUUCUCCAUCAAACUACCAAUAGAAUGAACCUUUUGUGCAUUUUUGUAUAACAAGAAAUGGGCUUGCAAUUUUUCUUCACGGGUUUAAGUAUUGGGGAGUUUUCUUCCCUGGGAUAAAGUGGUGACAUGCUUGGCCACCCAAUACUCACCAAACAAUGGGGAUAAAUAAAAUAUAUUCAAGAAAGGGGUAUUUAUUAUUAUUAUUAUUACUAUUAUAGCUAUCCAACCAAUCUAAGGAAAAAUAUUUCACAGUAAGGGUGGUGAGGCACUGGUACAGGUUGCCCAGAGAGGUGGUGGGUGCCCCAUUCUUGGAGACAUCCAAGGUCAGGCUGGAGGGGCUCUGAGCACUGAUGGAGCUGUGGGUGUCCCUGUUCAUUGCAGGCAGUGGGGCCAGAUGGUCUUUAAGGGUCCCUUCCAACUCAAACCAAUCUGUGAUAUGCCAUGAAUCCAACCACUGAGUGAAAACAGUACUUUGUGAGAGAAGUGCCAAACAAUGCCAAACAGAUACUGGAGGAUGGUAGCCCUCCUGCUUGCAGCAGUGCUCUGAUGGCUCAGCAGAUGCCAAGCAGCUGGUGCUGCCUACUGGCCUGUGCAAGGGUUCAUGCAUAUCAGUUGUCCCCAUUCAUAUAUGUUUAUGACAGAUGCCCAUCCACUGGACCCUACCAGUCCAAGACAGUGACACUCAAUAACUGCAUCUCUGUCUCUAGGUUUCCAAACAGACAAAAAGCUUUACACAGGCAAGUGGAACGAAACCUUAGGCUUCUCAGAAGCACACUUAUGGACUGUGAAGAAAAUUUUGGCGAUGAGUUUUUCACCCGUGGGACAACAUCCUAUGCAUCAUAGCAAGAAUACAUCGGGGAAAGUGCACACCUGGAAGAGCUCACAGUCUGAAGGGAUUGGAUAGAAACCUCACAUCUGAUGUUGUGCCUGGUUUUUAAAGCAGUUUUGAACACUGGGUAUCAAAAUAUGUUCCCUGCUCUGAAGUUUAAGCAACCUGCUCCUCACGCUUCAAUAGCAAGCUGCACUCAAGAGGACAUUUGCUGCCCACUCCUAUGGAUGACAAAACACAAUUUAUGGGAUGUGUUGUACAGAAAGGAGGCAGCCUUUGCCUCAAGGUGUAGGUAGCAGAUUGACCAAAGCUAGAGGUCAAUAGGCCAAUAUUUGACCAGGCAUGGCUCCUCCUUGCAUCCCGUUUGGGAGCCUUUCUGCAAGCAGAGAGCAGAGAUUGAGAAAUCAGCAAGAUUGGUCACCCUUCCCUUCAUUGCUUAAAUUAUUUACUUUACCGUUUUCUCUUCUCCUGGCAGCUGAUUUGUCAAAGCAAGUGAAGCAGCUAGAAAGAGAGUUGUGGCUGCAGCAGGAAUAUUACAGCAAUUAGAAAGGGCCAUAAACAGUUCUCUACAUAUGAAACUGCUCAUUGAAUUUGACAAGCAGCCUUUUCUUCUUCUCCCCGCCACCAAAUACAAUGCAGCCUCUUUCCCUUUCAUAAAUGCCAGCACUUUUUCUUUCGGUUCCCACCAAGGGUCCCUCACACUCAACACUCAGAUCAAUACAUUUGCGGACUGAAAGGGACCUUUCUCCUCAACACUCAGCCUCUCGCGGACAGAAUUAAGGCUGAUUGAGUAUGUCACAGUCCGACUGCAAUUUAGAGAGGCAUCGUGCAACCGUGCUGUCCUGGCACCGGUCCAGCUGUCAGAUUUAAUAGAAAAGUAGAGCAGCUUCAUCUGCCCCAAACGGCACGCUGCUCUCUGCAGCCACUGAUUUAGGCUUCCUACACGUUACGGUCUGUCACUUGGAAGUGAUGGAUGAGGUACCAGUGGAUGUCUCUUGCUCACUCCCGGUAGCGAUAAGCAAGUAGCAGGUACGUCAGGAGAAGAGCUGAAGGGAUUAUCUUGGGCUUAUUUUGUGUUUGCCAAUACUGAAGGCGGAGAACAUGCUGCCAGAGCAGGAUGUUAUAAAUUAUAUUGUGCUAUAGCAGGUAGGGCUGAAACAUGGUGGCAAUGGGUUGAUGGUUGGACUUGGUGAUCUUAGUGGUCUUUUCCAACCUUAAUGAUUGUGUGAACCUGUUGAGGCUUCUCCAACCUCCAUAAUCAUGGGGGGAGACCUCUACAGAGCUCCCUUCCACUUACAUAGUGUCUAAGGGUUGAACUCUUGCCAUAUGUUAGAAAUUAGGACCAAAGGAGGUCUUGUUGACCUCCUGUCCUGCCAUGAGAUAGAAUUGCCUGUGCUACUUUGCACAACACUGGGUCAUUCAGGUUAAUAUUUCCCCUGGAGAGAAGCAGCAUGAGUCAGAGUACCCACUUGGAAAGGAGAGAUUGGGGUGAUUUGGAGUGGAAUGAUGGAGGGCCUUAUGACAAACUGCUCUGUAAUUACGUUGGCAAAGAUCUUCUGCCAACAAGGAGCAGAGCAGCACCUAGGUGGAUACAGGUGGCUUUGCAUUUCCUGGGUACCUCAAUUUGCUUUGUUUCUGCUCCAGAAGGAUGCUGAUUAACUGUGGGUGGUUCAGGGAAGAGCCGCCUGAACAGCUGAAGGUUUGGGGAUGGGGAUGACAGGAGCAGGGGGAGGCAGAUGAUGCCUGGUGUUACUGAGAAAAGGUUAAGGGGUAAUUUAUCAUUGUCUGUAAGUACCUGCUUGGGAGCAGUAAUUUGAGAUGAGAGCUCUUGAGUCUGUAUCACAAAAGGAUAACUGGAACUGUUGGCUGUGUGUUGGUGUGAGGUGCAUUUUCUGAGACACAGGCACAGCAAAAGGAGUGGGUGGGGGAAAGGCAUCACAGCUGUCAACAGGUGCUCCAGCCCUCCACCUCCAAUGGUUGCAGUCCCCUCUUUCCUUAACUCGGGAAUCCUGCACCUAUUUGCAAAUGACAAGGCUGAUGCAAGCAGAGUAGAAUAGGGUAUUUACCUCCUUCUGCCUAAAAAUCCCAACGUUGCCUUUGCCUUGCAAGAUGGAACAGAACCACUUACAAUCCCAGAUUUUCUACAGCCUGUUAAUCCCAAGAGAUGCAGACAUGUCAGACUUCUUGGCUUCAGGGAUUUCAACCCAAAGGAUAAUUAUGAAAAAACUCCCAAAUUGAUAUGCUUGAUCUUAAGAUUGUUACCACAGCCCCAAUAAUUUUGUUGGAAGUCCCAACCCCACUGAUUAAAUCACGUUCUUAAGCUGCAAUUCUCCACCUAUCUACAGUCAUUCUGUAUUUUGACACAGCAACCCCAGUGAUUUCCUACAACCAUAUCUCCCAUAACAUGCCUGGUUAUUAAUUCUCAGGAUGCAUCACACAGCUUCAGCAGUGAAAAGAUGCCCUCUGCAUUAUGGAAGAUAAAGUUCUUCAGGAAACUCAGCUCAGAAUGCAGCUUGGAGCUGGGAGGUCCCAGUUUGCAGUGUCCACAUGAGAAAAGACUGCCACUUAAUUCUGAAAUCACAAUGUAUUCAAAGUCAUUACGUGCUAUCAAAAAUAUAAGGGAUUACCAGAUGCAAAAUGAGGCAUUUAAUUCUCAUGUCAUCUAAAUCAGAAAUUUUCCCCCAUCACAUUUAAAUGGUGUGAUGAAGCCCUUAUGGGAAACCUGUUUGGCUGAAAAGUCCAUGGCCAGUUUCACAGAUCAACUACUCAGUACAAACCAUGGUGACUUUUCCUCAGCUGGAUGCCAUUAAACAGAGAUCAGUUCCAUUUGCUUUGUUGAAAGAAAGAAAAAAAAAAUAGAGAAAAAUAAAAGCUCUUUUUAGCUCCAACUCUGUGUCUAGCUUUGAGGAGCCUUGUCUUCAGAUAGUUGGAUAGACCAUGGCUGUCUAUGACAAGGACAGGACAGGAGCUUGCACCAGGAGGAGGCUGUGCUGCCACAGCAUUCAGCUCUGCAAGCCCAAACGUUGUGGCUGCCAACGUUCAGGUGAACAAUGCAAUUUACAUCCAAACACUGCUCCUGGGCAGCAGAAUGCAACCAGUCAACCAGAGCAAGGGCUGAUUAUGGGAAACAUCUGGGGUGAAAUGGGAAUUCCCCAUUCUCUAGUCAUUCCCUGGACUAUUUUAGGACAGCUUCUUCAUAAAAUGGAAGUGCAGUCUUCUCCAGAGCCCCACCUGUAUAACCAAGGGCAGGUUGGGCCAGAGGAAUGAAAUAAAUGAGCUUUUUAAUGGGCUUUAAUCACAAAUUGUCCUUCAGGGCUUGAUAGAGGUUUCUGCCACAUCAAAGAGAAAUCUCCUGUCCAUUUCAAGGGGAGAAGAAGCAAACUUGUGAACAGCACAUCAGAAUUAAACCUUGUAAAAGAUCACUGCACAUAGUAAAUGCACUGGUAGUGCUCAGGAGAAGGGAGAGAGCAACUGCUUGGCUGGUGAUUUAUCACACCUUUUGGACCCCCAAACUCUUUUGCAUUUUGACUUCAGAUGGGCUAUAGAAAAACAUGUCUAUAAUGUCUGUGUCCAACUAUCCACUCUUAAUGACCCAGUGGAACACCCAAAACAGGCAGAGCUUUGCCUGUUUCAACAUGAGAGUCCAUCUUCCAAAACAAGAGCUGCAGAGACUAUGUCUGGAUCAGGAGAUAGGGGCUCAUCUUUCCUUCUGCAGUCAUUUGGUGACUACAGCACAUGCCUGAGCGCUAGGAAAUGGUCAGUGAGCAAUGCCUAUCUCUUUUGCCUGUAAUAAUGUAAGCCUGCUUGUCCCUCAUAAGUACUUUGAGGACAUGAUAAUGGGAUAUUCAAACACAGGGAGCUCACUGUUGCUGCCAAUGGGACUUCCCCACUUUAUCAUGGAAGAUGGGAAAGAGUGACUACAGAUUGCACUUUCCUCCUUGCCGUCAUAUCAGGCUUCUGCUCUGCUUCCCCAGCUGGUUAAUACACUGCUUCUUAACUACAUCUCUUCAGAAAUGUCAGUCCAGAUGAUGUCAGAGCUGAAAGAUGACCUCUCAAGCCCUGGCCUGGGAGAGUAUUGGCUCCCUUCCUUAAAUCCACAUUGUACAGGGACUCUACGAGGAAGUCUGAACAGAUCUGUGGCCUUUAGCAGGGCAUGAGAAAGGGAGACUGCUCAGAUGGGAGAAGGACUUAUGGGCAGACAAUGAGGAUUUUUCAUGAUGUGACAUUUUAUUUGCUCUGAUAUGUUGACAUGAGUCCUGUGAGUCAUCAGGAGAGCUGACUUCUGGAUUCUCAGUUCUUAGCUCCUCUUUUGUCUACAGGGCUUGCUUCUUUCCGGGCCUUAGCACUAAUGAAAUUAAAAUCUUUUGCUUCUGAAAGAAUUAUGGGUCUGGCUCAUGCCAAAAUAUUAAUUCUGUGGGAGAAAGGGGCAAUGUAAGCAUCUGAUGGGUGUGUGAGAUGGAUGAGAAAAAACAGAGGAAAAUUUUGUCUUAGUGUCAGGCUCUGCAAUUUUUAUUUUUUGGAGUUAGCUUCAUUUAAGACUAACUGAGCAUCAUAGGCAGUCAAUGGCUUAACAGAUAUCUGUGCCAAAGAACACAUUAUCUGCAAGUGAAAUAUCGUAACGGGUCUAUGUGAUGGAAAGCACUAGAAGGACAAGUUAUAAAUAC
RNAcentral lists this long non-coding RNA (13537 nucleotides) under Gallus gallus (chicken). RNAcentral describes it as "lncRNA (ENSGALG00010019117.1)". Lineage: Eukaryota; Metazoa; Chordata; Aves; Galliformes; Phasianidae. The record is from RNAcentral.